This 565-nucleotide long non-coding RNA is filed under the name Homo sapiens (human). Its description in RNAcentral is "TSPAN11 antisense RNA 1". The record is from RNAcentral. Lineage: Eukaryota; Metazoa; Chordata; Mammalia; Primates; Hominidae.
ACACCAGUGGCUACUCCCACUUGCACUAGGAGCGCUGUGACACCCCAACUUGUGGGGCAGAGGUCAGGCCCAGAGUGCUGAAGUGCUGAAGCUCCUGUAGAAGGUCCUUCCAUGUGUCUUUCAGAUCCUGGGCUUGGCCUUCUCCAUAACCAUCACCCAGCACAUCCACUGGACUGGGUCUUGCUCUGUCAUCCAGACUGGAGUACAGUGGUGCAACCACGGCUCACUGCAGCCUUGAACUCCUGGGCUCAAGCAAUCCUCCUACCUCAGCCUCCAUAGCAGUCGGGACCACAGGUAUGUGCCACCAUGCCCGGCCAAUUUUGUUUAUUUUUUUGUAGAGGCGGGGUCUCCCUAUGUUGCCCAGGCUAGAACUCCUGGACUCAAGCAAUCCUCCCACCUCAGCUUCCCAAAGUGUUGGGAUUACAGACGUGAGCCAACACGCCUAACUUAGUUACAAUAUUUUAAACUUACGAUGUAUUUAUCAAGAUGUAGCCCCAUCAUAUGUUGAGGAGCAUCUGUAUAUUCUCAAUAUAUUUCUUUUCUCUGGCGAGACCCCAGUUCCUAA